CACCGAGCGUCGUGGCGGGCGCUUGUGAGUCAGCUUCUUGACGGUAGAUAAGUGUGGAUGGAGUGAGAGGAGGAGUCCUGUGUAUGUCGUUGUCAACGUCGACCGAGCGUCCGUGCCAAGCGCUGCGUCACCAGGGGAUGACUGUCGGAAGAUGGUCAGUCCCGGGUGCAUAAGGAGUGGUGGAUGGUUCAGGACCGAAAGGUAGCAGACAAAAGCCACCGCGCGGUGCAGUGGCCGGACUGCGCUUGUGAGUUGACACGUAUACACAGCCUUCUCAAUACCUUCAGACCUUCAGACCACUUAUCAUU
This 308-nucleotide signal recognition particle RNA is filed under the name Caenorhabditis elegans. RNAcentral describes it as "CeN107-4". It matches the Rfam family "Metazoan signal recognition particle RNA". Rfam says of the family: The signal recognition particle (SRP) is a universally conserved ribonucleoprotein. It is involved in the co-translational targeting of proteins to membranes. Lineage: Eukaryota; Metazoa; Nematoda; Chromadorea; Rhabditida; Rhabditidae. The record is from RNAcentral.